GAUGAACGCUGGCGGCGUGCCUAAUACAUGCAAGUCGAGCGAACAGAUGAUGAGCUUGCUCCUCUGACGUUAGCGGCGGACGGGUGAGUAACACGUGGAUAACCUACCUAUAAGACUGGGAUAACUUCGGGAAACCGGAGCUAAUACCGUAUAAUAUCUUGAACCGCAUGGUUCAAUAGUGAAAGACGGUUUUGCUGUCACUUAUAGAUGGAUCCGCGCCGCAUUAGCUAGUUGGUAAGGUAACGGCUUACCAAGGCAACGAUGCGUAGCCGAACUGAGAGGGGGAUAGGCCACACGGGAACUGAGACACGGUCCAGACUCCUACGGGAGGCAGCAGUAGGGAACCUUCCGCAAUGGGCGAAAGCCUGACGGAGCAACGCCGAGUGAGUGAUGAAGGUCUUCGGAUCGUAAAGCUCUGUUAUUAGGGAAGAACAAAUGUGUAAGUAACUAUGCACGUCUUGACGGUACCUAAUCAGAAAGCCACGGCUAACUACGUG
Molecule: ribosomal RNA, 497 nt
Filed under: uncultured bacterium
Lineage: Bacteria
Description: partial 16S ribosomal RNA
Rfam family: Bacterial small subunit ribosomal RNA
Source: RNAcentral